Molecule: ribosomal RNA, 471 nt
Filed under: uncultured bacterium
Lineage: Bacteria
Description: partial 16S ribosomal RNA
Rfam family: Bacterial small subunit ribosomal RNA
Source: RNAcentral
GACGAACGCUGGCGGCGUGCUUAACACAUGCAAGUCGAACGAUGAAGCGGUGCUUGCACCGUGGAUUAGUGGCGAACGGGUGAGUAAUACGUGAGUGACCUACCUUUGACUCUGGGAUAAGCCUGGGAAACUGGGUCUAAUACCGGAUACGACCAAUCUCUGCAUGGGGUGUUGGUGGAAAGCGUUAUGGAGUGGUUUUAGAUGGGCUCACGGCCUAUCAGCUUGUUGGUGAGGUAAUGGCUUACCAAGGCGACGACGGGUAGCCGGCCUGAGAGGGUGACCGGCCACACUGGGACUGAGACACGGCCCAGACUCCUACGGGAGGCAGCAGUGGGGAAUAUUGCACAAUGGGCGCAAGCCUGAUACAGCGACGCCGCGUGAGGGAUGACGGCCUUCGGGUUGUAAACCUCUGUUAGCAUCGAAGAAGCGAAAGUGACGGUAGGUGCAGAGAAAGCGCCGGCUAACUACGUG